UACGUAGGGGGCAAGCGUUGUCCGGAUUCAUUGGGCGUAAAGAGCGUGUAGGCGGCUUGGCAAGUCCGUUGUGAAAACUGGAGGCUUAACCUCCAGACGUCGAUGGAAACUGCCUGGCUAGAGUCCGGAAGAGGAGAGUGGAAUUCCUGGUGUAGCGGUGAAAUGCGCAGAUAUCAGGAAGAACACCCGUGGCGAAGGCGGCUCUCUGGGACGGUACUGACGCUGAGACGCGAAAGCGUGGGGAGCGAACAGG
This 253-nucleotide ribosomal RNA is filed under the name uncultured bacterium. RNAcentral describes it as "partial 16S ribosomal RNA". It matches the Rfam family "Bacterial small subunit ribosomal RNA", at positions 524 to 776 of the family's 1533-position model. The record is from RNAcentral.